GCCGGGCGUGGUGGCGGGCGCCUGUAAUCCCAGCUACUCGGGAGGCUGAGGCAGGAGAAUCACUUGAACCCGGGAGGCAGAGGUUGCAGUGAGCGGAGAUCGCGUCACUGCACUCCAGCCUGGGUGACAGAAUGAGACCCUGUCUCAA
Molecule: non-coding RNA, 148 nt
Organism: Nomascus leucogenys (northern white-cheeked gibbon)
Lineage: Eukaryota; Metazoa; Chordata; Mammalia; Primates; Hylobatidae
Rfam family: Metazoan signal recognition particle RNA
About the family: The signal recognition particle (SRP) is a universally conserved ribonucleoprotein. It is involved in the co-translational targeting of proteins to membranes.
Source: Rfam